ACGGCGAGUGAAGCGGGAAGAGCUCAAAUUUGAAAUCUGGUAGCCUUCGGCUGCCCGAGUUGUAAUCUAGAGAAGUGUUUUCCGUGCCGGCCCAUGUACAAGUCCCUUGGAACAGGGCGUCAUAGAGGGUGAGAAUCCCGUCCUUGACAUGGACCCCCGGUGCUUUGUGAUACACUUUCAACGAGUCGAGUUGUUUGGGAAUGCAGCUCAAAAUGGGUGGUGAAUUCCAUCUAAAGCUAAAUAUUGGCGAGAGACCGAUAGCGAACAAGUACCGUGAGGGAAAGAUGAAAAGCACUUUGGAAAGAGAGUUAAACAGUACGUGAAAUUGUUGAAAGGGAAACGAUUGAAGUCAGUCAUGCUCUUUGGAUUCAGCCGUUCUUGCGGUGUAUUUCCAUUGAGUGGGGUCAACAUCAGUUUUGACCGCUGGAUAAAGGCACUAGGAAGGUAGCACUCUCGGGUGAACUUAUAGCCUAGCGUCAUAUACAGUGGUUGGGACUGAGGAACGCAGCAUGCCUUUAUGGCCGGGAUUCGUCCACGUAC
Molecule: ribosomal RNA, 540 nt
Filed under: Naganishia uzbekistanensis
Lineage: Eukaryota; Fungi; Basidiomycota; Tremellomycetes; Filobasidiales; Filobasidiaceae
Description: LSU rRNA
Rfam family: Eukaryotic large subunit ribosomal RNA
Source: RNAcentral